Non-coding RNA from Malus domestica (apple), 1647 nucleotides. NCBI's taxonomy places the organism in Eukaryota, Viridiplantae, Streptophyta, Magnoliopsida, Rosales, Rosaceae. The record is from RefSeq and is a predicted model, not a curated record.
UUUAUUGCAUUUUAUCUAUGCUCUGACAUCACUUGUGUGAUAUAAGUUCAAUCCCGCUCACAUGCACGCUCUAAUUAGUCACUUUAAGGUUUUAAUUUAUUCACAGUUUCCACAUCACUACACUUUAUGGCUUCGUCACUUUUUAGGUGUUGGCCAGCACAUCGCGAUUCAGGUAUCUACGUGGACAUCUCGGGUCGGGGUGCGUCACCGAUCCUCCUUUUUCAAUUUUUUUUUCUUUUCAGUUUUUUUUUGGUUAAUUUUUCUUUUAUUUCUCUUACCAUAACAACAAACUACCAUAUUCAUGUUCUUCAAAAUAUAUUUUUCGUGCAAAAUCUAUUAUAAGUUCAUAUUUAUACACUUGAAAUCAAUUAUUUAAAACCUAAAUUUAUAAAUAUUUUUCUAUUUUGCAUCUUUAAAAAAUCAAUAAAAAAUAACUUGGGGCCUAAUGAACGGUUGGAUCACAUCCAAAGGUAUUUCAACAUUUUCCUUAACUUUGAUGGAAAAUAUUUCCUAAAGUCAAAAUUUCAAUUUUUUCCCAAAAAUUGUGAGUUAUAACCCACAGUUUUCCAAUCGAUUUUGAGAAUUUUUAUUAGCCAAAGUUAGAGUCAUUCUAUUCACACAACAUGUUUUCUAAAAUUAAUUUAGGACAUUCCCAAGAUUUUGGACACAUACAAAUCUCUUUGGGGGACCUGCUAUUAGUUUUCAUUAUUUUUAUAUUUUUCAACUUUAAAAAUCAACAAAAGAUAGUGUUGGGACCUAAUAAACGCUAUGAUUGUUGAAUGUAAUAGAAUCAGGUUGUUAAUGAUGAGUGUCAUGUCAACAUAGGUGGUUAGUAUUUGGAGUGCCAUGUCAGCAAGGUUGUUAAGUAAGUUUGUCAGAAGUUGGUUGUGUUAGUUAGAUUAGUAGCUUGGCUACUAAGUUUCCAUAGCUCUAAUAACAACUGAAACUAUGCAAAUAUAAUAGUGAAGAUUCAUCAAUACAAAAGAUUUCAUUCUUUUUAGUUUUCUCUCAAUUGUUCUUUAGUUUUUCUCUCUGCCUUUUCGGGUUUUCUGCAUAAUUGCAAAACUGUUAUCAUGUUAUCAUUCGAUGACUAUUUUGAUCUUUGUGGUUGUUCGUCCGUUGUGAUUGUCUCUGAGUGUUGGGGAUCUUUUGGUGUUUUCGAACGGGAUUUUCCAAUCAAGAACUCAAUCUUCAGGUAACUCGGAUGGUGUUGUACCAAGGAAAGAGUGAUGAUGGAGAGCUGUUCAAGAUCCUGAUCAAUGUGUUUUCAAAGUUUUUGUUGCAAAGCUUGGGAAUAAUGCUGCUUUUGUUGGAAAGAAGAUAAAGAGUUCAGUAUGGCAUAAAAAGUUGGGUCAUCAAUUUGAGGAAAUACUAAAUAGAAUGUUAAAUGUUGCUGAGUUUCCUGUUACUUCAUAUUCUUGUCCAUCGCUAUGUUUUGCAUGUAUUCAUGGCAAGAUGAAUAGGUUACCUUUCCAUGUAAAACAAGAUAGGUCAACUGUAAUGUUUGAAAAUAUCCAUUAAGAUGUUUGGGGACCUUCACUUGUGAAGUCUAUUGAAGCUUUUAGAUAUUACAUAAGCUUUGUUGAUGAAUAUUCUAGAUUUGUAUGGAUUUUCCCAAUGAUGAAUAAAUCAGAUGUCUUUCCAUUA